CCGCGUGAGUGAUGACGGCCUUCGGAUUGUAAGCUCUGUCUUUGGGGACGAUAAUGACGGUACCCAAGGAGGAAGCCACGGCUAACUACGUGCCAGCAGCCGCGGUAAUACGUAGGUGGCAAGCGUUGUCCGGAUUUACUGGGCGUAAAGGGAGCGUAGGCGGAUUUUUAAGUGAGAUGUGAAAUACCCGGGCUCAACUUGGGUGCUGCAUUUCAAACUGGGAGUCUUGAGUGCAGGAGAGGAAAGCGGAAUUCCUAGUGUAGCGGUGAAAUGCGUAGAGAUUAGGAAGAACACCAGUGGCGAAGGCGACUUUCUGGACUGUAACUGACGCUGAGGCUCGAAAGCGUGGGGAGCAAACAGGAUUAGAUACCCUGGUAGUCA
This 381-nucleotide ribosomal RNA is filed under the name uncultured Clostridium sp. RNAcentral's name for it is "bacterial SSU rRNA". It matches the Rfam family "Bacterial small subunit ribosomal RNA", at positions 397 to 796 of the family's 1533-position model. Lineage: Bacteria; Bacillati; Bacillota; Clostridia; Eubacteriales; Clostridiaceae. The record is from RNAcentral.